AACGAACGCUGGCGGCAUGCCUAACACAUGCAAGUCGAACGAGACCUUCGGGUCUAGUGGCGCACGGGUGCGUAACGCGUGGGAACCUGCCCUUAGGUUCGGAAUAACUCCCCGAAAGGGGUGCUAAUACCGGAUAAUGUCUUCGGACCAAAGAUUUAUCGCCUUUGGAUGGGCCCGCGUUGGAUUAGCUAGUUGGUAGGGUAAAAGCCUACCAAGGCGACGAUCCAUAGCUGGUCUGAGAGGAUGAUCAGCCACACUGGGACUGAGACACGGCCCAGACUCCUACGGGAGGCAGCAGUGGGGAAUAUUGGACAAGGGGCGAAAGCCUGAUCCAGCAAUGCCGCGUGAGUGAUGAAGGCCUUAGGGUUGUAAAGCUCUUUUACCCGAGAUGAUAAUGACAGUACCGGGAGAAUAAGCUCCGGCUAACUCCGUG
RNAcentral lists this ribosomal RNA (433 nucleotides) under uncultured bacterium. RNAcentral describes it as "partial 16S ribosomal RNA". It matches the Rfam family "Bacterial small subunit ribosomal RNA", at positions 29 to 507 of the family's 1533-position model. The record is from RNAcentral.